RNAcentral lists this ribosomal RNA (455 nucleotides) under uncultured bacterium. Its description in RNAcentral is "bacterial SSU rRNA". It matches the Rfam family "Bacterial small subunit ribosomal RNA", at positions 923 to 1379 of the family's 1533-position model. The record is from RNAcentral.
GCACAAGCGGUGGAGCAUGUGGUUUAAUUCGACGCAACGCGAAGAACCUUACCUGGGCUUGACAUGUUCCUGACAGCCGUGGAAACACGGUCUCCCUUCGGGGCAGGAUCACAGGUGGUGCAUGGCUGUCGUCAGCCCGUGUCGUGAGAUGUUGGGUUAAGUCCCGCAACGAGCGCAACCCCCGUCGCAUGUUGCCAGCAUUUAGUUGGGGACUCAUGCGAGACCGCCGGUGACAAACCGGAGGAAGGUGGGGAUGACGUCAAGUCAUCAUGCCCCUUAUGUCCAGGGCUACACACGUGCUACAUUGGCGCGUACAGAGGGUUGCGAUACCGCGAGGUGGAGCGAAUCCCUUAAAGCGCGUCUCGGUUCGGAUUGCAGGCUGAAACCCGCCUGCAUGAAGGCGGAGUUGCUAGUAAUCGCGGAUCAGCACUGCCGCGGUGAAUACGUUCCCGGGC